Molecule: ribosomal RNA, 490 nt
Filed under: uncultured bacterium
Lineage: Bacteria
Description: partial 16S ribosomal RNA
Rfam family: Bacterial small subunit ribosomal RNA
Source: RNAcentral
GAUGAACGCUAGCUACAGGCUUAACACAUGCAAGUCGAGGGGCAGCAUGGUCUUAGCUUGCUAAGGCCGAUGGCGACCGGCGCACGGGUGAGUAACACGUAUCCAACCUGCCGUCUACUCUUGGACAGCCUUCUGAAAGGAAGAUUAAUACAAGAUGGCAUCAUGAGUCCGCAUGUUCACAUGAUUAAAGGUAUUCCGGUAGACGAUGGGGAUGCGUUCCAUUAGAUAGUAGGCGGGGUAACGGCCCACCUAGUCUUCGAUGGAUAGGGGUUCUGAGAGGAAGGUCCCCCACAUUGGAACUGAGACACGGUCCAAACUCCUACGGGAGGCAGCAGUGAGGAAUAUUGGUCAAUGGGCGAGAGCCUGAACCAGCCGAGUAGCGUGAAGGAUGACUGCCCUAUGGGUUGUAAACUUCUUUUAUAAAGGAAUAAAGUCGGGUAUGGAUACCCGUUUGCAUGUACUUUAUGAAUAAGGAUCGGCUAACUCCGUG